UACAGAGGAUGCAAGCGUUAUCCGGAAUGAUUGGGCGUAAAGCGUCUGUAGGUGGCUUUUUAAGUCCGCCGUCAAAUCCCAGGGCUCAACUCUGGACAGGCGGUGGAAACUACCAAGCUGGAGUGCGGCAGAGGGGGGUGGAAUUCCGCGUGUAGCAGUGAAAUGCGUAGAGAUGCGGAGGAACACCGAUGGCGAAGGCAGCCCCCUGGGCUAGCACUGACGCUCAGGCACGAAAGCGUGGGGAGCAAACAGG
This 253-nucleotide ribosomal RNA is filed under the name uncultured bacterium. Its description in RNAcentral is "partial 16S ribosomal RNA". It matches the Rfam family "Bacterial small subunit ribosomal RNA", at positions 524 to 776 of the family's 1533-position model. The record is from RNAcentral.